GGCUGAACAGGGGACAGACUGGGGGGAGGCUCGGUGGCUCGGCUUCGACGAAGGGCGGCGACGUGGCCGGAUAUCCGGCGGCAAGUGGAGGCGGCACUGGAGCAAGGGAUGGCCGGUGGCAAAGUUCGGCCGGCAAGAAAUCAAGAAGAGAUCAGAAAAACAGGGGAUCGCUACUUUUUCUUUUGUUUUCUGGUCAUUGGUCAGUUACCGACGGCCAAAACCCUCAGAGAAGAGGGAUAGAGAGAUGAAGUCCUAUCCUACAGGUGAGAUGCCGUAGACGGCGGUGCCAGUGG
This 293-nucleotide long non-coding RNA is filed under the name Elaeis guineensis (African oil palm). Its description in RNAcentral is "long non-coding RNA (EGUI_LNC010322)". Lineage: Eukaryota; Viridiplantae; Streptophyta; Magnoliopsida; Arecales; Arecaceae. The record is from RNAcentral.